AUUGAACGCUGGCGGCAGGCCUAACACAUGCAAGUCGAACGAGUGGCGGACGGGUGAGUAAUGUCUGGGCAACUGCCCGAUGGAGGGGGAUAACUACUGGAAACGGUAGCUAAUACCGCAUACCAUCGGAUGUGCCCUGAUGGGAUUAGCUAGUAGGUGGGGUAAUGGCUCACCUAGGCGACGCUCCCUAGCUGGUCUGGUAGGCGGACCGCCCACACUGGAACGGAGACACGGCCCAGACUCCUACGGGAGGCAGCAGUGGGGAAUAUUGCACAAUGGGCGCAAGCCUGAUGCAGCCAUGCCGCGUGUAUGAAGAAGGCCUUCGGGUUGUAAAGUACUUUCAGCGGGGAGGCGGUACCCGCAGAAGAAGCACCGGCUAACUCCGUGCCAGCAGCCGCGGUAAUUC
Molecule: ribosomal RNA, 406 nt
Filed under: uncultured bacterium
Lineage: Bacteria
Description: partial 16S ribosomal RNA
Rfam family: Bacterial small subunit ribosomal RNA
Source: RNAcentral